GAUGAACGCUGGCGGCGUGCCUAAUACAUGCAAGUCGAGCGAACAGACGAGGAGCUUGCUCCUCUGACGUUAGCGGCGGACGGGUGAGUAACACGUGGAUAACCUACCUAUAAGACUGGGAUAACUUCGGGAAACCGGAGCUAAUACCGGAUAAUAUAUUGAACCGCAUGGUUCAAUAGUGAAAGACGGUUUUGCUGUCACUUAUAGAUGGAUCCGCGCCGCAUUAGCUAGUUGGUAAGGUAACGGCUUACCAAGGCAACGAUGCGUAGCCGACCUGAGAGGGUGACCGGCCACACUGGAACUGAGACACGGUCCAGACUCCUACGGGAGGCAGCAGUAGGGAAUCUUCCGCAAUGGGCGAAAGCCUGACGGAGCAACGCCGCGUGAGUGAUGAAGGUCUUCGGAUCGUAAAACUCUGUUAUCCGGGAAGAACACAUGUGUAAGUAACUAUGCACGUCUUGACGGUACCUAAUCAGAAAGCCACGGCUAACUACGUG
RNAcentral lists this ribosomal RNA (497 nucleotides) under uncultured bacterium. RNAcentral's name for it is "partial 16S ribosomal RNA". It matches the Rfam family "Bacterial small subunit ribosomal RNA", at positions 28 to 507 of the family's 1533-position model. The record is from RNAcentral.